This 250-nucleotide ribosomal RNA is filed under the name uncultured bacterium. RNAcentral describes it as "partial 16S ribosomal RNA". It matches the Rfam family "Bacterial small subunit ribosomal RNA", at positions 524 to 773 of the family's 1533-position model. The record is from RNAcentral.
UACGGAGGGUGCAAGCGUUGUCCGGAUUUAUUGGGUUUAAAGGGUGCGUAGGCGGCUUUAUAAGUCCGUGGUGAAAGCCAACAGCUCAACUGUUGAACUGCCAUGGAUACUGUAAGGCUUGAGUACAGACGAGGUAGGCGGAAUGGAUGGUGUAGCGGUGAAAUGCAUAGAUACCAUCCAGAACCCCGAUUGCGUAGGCAGCUUACUAGGCUGUAACUGACGCUGAGGCACGAAAGCGUGGGGAGCGAAC